RNAcentral lists this unclassified non-coding RNA (211 nucleotides) under uncultured Pluteus. Its description in RNAcentral is "sequence contains ITS2". The record is from RNAcentral. Lineage: Eukaryota; Fungi; Basidiomycota; Agaricomycetes; Agaricales; Pluteaceae.
AAUUCUCAACAAUCCCUUUCUCUCUUGUGGGUUAGUGGAUGUUGGAUGAUGGAAGCUUGCUGGCUUUUGUGGGUCAGCUCUUCUGAAAUGCAUUAGCAGGGCCACCGUAUACACAGCUGUGGCUUCGGUAUUGAUGGUUGUCAUACCCAAGCAACAGAUGGGUGAUGUGCUCAGCUUAUAGCCGUCUCUCUGAGACAACAAACUUGACAAU